UGCCUGAUGGCACCGGAGAUGUUAUAAUUAGACCGACACAAAGGUGUUUCGCUGUUUCACAUGUUCUUAGAAAUAUAGGGACGACUUCUCUAUCUGUCCACAUAGCCAGUUCAUGUGAUUACAUUC
RNAcentral lists this small nucleolar RNA (126 nucleotides) under Zea mays. RNAcentral's name for it is "Small nucleolar RNA snoR2/U65". It matches the Rfam family "Small nucleolar RNA snoR2/U65", at positions 22 to 149 of the family's 149-position model. The record is from Rfam by way of RNAcentral. Lineage: Eukaryota; Viridiplantae; Streptophyta; Magnoliopsida; Poales; Poaceae.